RNAcentral lists this ribosomal RNA (465 nucleotides) under Vreelandella stevensii. Its description in RNAcentral is "partial 16S ribosomal RNA". It matches the Rfam family "Bacterial small subunit ribosomal RNA", at positions 338 to 795 of the family's 1533-position model. Lineage: Bacteria; Pseudomonadati; Pseudomonadota; Gammaproteobacteria; Oceanospirillales; Halomonadaceae. The record is from RNAcentral.
CCUACGGGUGGCAGCAGUGGGGAAUAUUGGACAAUGGGGGCAACCCUGAUCCAGCCAUGCCGCGUGUGUGAAGAAGGCCCUCGGGUUGUAAAGCACUUUCAGUGAGGAAGAACGCCUGGUGGUUAAUACCCAUCAGGAAAGACAUCACUCACAGAAGAAGCACCGGCUAACUCCGUGACAGCAGCCGCGGUAAUACGGAGGGUGCGAGCGUUAAUCGGAAUUACUGGGCGUAAAGCGCGCGUAGGUGGCUUGAUAAGCCGGUUGUGAAAGCCCCGGGCUCAACCUGGGAACGGCAUCCGGAACUGUCAAGCUAGAGUGCAGGAGAGGAAGGUAGAAUUCCCGGUGUAGCGGUGAAAUGCGUAGAGAUCGGGAGGAAUACCAGUGGCGAAGGCGGCCUUCUGGACUGACACUGACACUGAGGUGCGAAAGCGUGGGUAGCAAACAGGAUUAGAUACCCGAGUAGUC